RNAcentral lists this ribosomal RNA (482 nucleotides) under uncultured bacterium. RNAcentral describes it as "bacterial SSU rRNA". It matches the Rfam family "Bacterial small subunit ribosomal RNA", at positions 29 to 507 of the family's 1533-position model. The record is from RNAcentral.
AGUGAACGCUGGCGGCAGGCCUAACACAUGCAAGUCGAGCGGCAGCGCGGGGGCAACCCUGGCGGCGAGCGGCGGACGGGUGAGGAAUUCGUCGGAAUCUGCCUUUUUGUGGGGGAUAACGUAGGGAAACUUACGCUAAUACCGCAUACGACCUACGGGUGAAAGUGGGGGACCGCAAGGCCUCACGCAGAAAGAUGAGCCGACGACCGAUUAGCUAGUUGGUGGGGUAAAGGCCCACCAAGGCGACGAUCGGUAGCUGGUCUGAGAGGAUGAUCAGCCACACUGGGACUGAGACACGGCCCAGACUCCUACGGGAGGCAGCAGUGGGGAAUUUUGGACAAUGGGGGCAACCCUGAUCCAGCAAUGCCGCGUGAGUGAAGAAGGCCUUCGGGUUGUAAAGGCUCUUUUGUCAGGGAGAACAGCAGCUCUAACACAGUCUGCGAAUGACGGUACCUGAAGAAUAAGCACCGGCUAACUACGUG